Molecule: RNA transcript, 817 nt
Organism: Ostrinia furnacalis (Asian corn borer)
Lineage: Eukaryota; Metazoa; Arthropoda; Insecta; Lepidoptera; Crambidae
Gene name: calphotin-like
Exons: 3
Source: RefSeq, a predicted model, not a curated record
UGAUUCUGAUAAUUUGAUAAAGAAUGCAUGUAUAAAAGACGAUUAUAUCCUAAACUAUUAUCGUUGAUCCAAAACCAGCCGAGCCAAAAAAUGAAACUGUUAAUCGCCCUCGCCGCCCUCGUGGCCGUCUCGGUCGCCGUGCCCUUCAAGCCGGCAGACAGUCUGGAUGCCGAGCUGGACGCCAUCGUCGCCGCCAUCCAGAGCCCUAACACCGACCCUGCCACCGCCGCCCUUCUGGAACAACAGCUCCACGAGAUCAUCGCCGCCCUUUCCCCCGAAAUCGUCGCCUCCCCCAUCCUCGUCGAAGAAGAGGCUCAAGGACCCCAAGUGCCCGACGUCAUCCCCGAAAUCAUCAACAUCCCCGACUUGGGAGAACCCAGCCCCAUCGUGGUUCCUACCCCCGUCGCUCCCUCCAGCUCGGCCCUCGUUCAGAUCAUCGUGAACGUAAAGAACUCCGCUGACGUCGGCGUCGCCCCUAUCGUGCCUGCCCCCAUCGUGGUUUCUCCCAUUGAGGCUUCCCCCAUCCAGGUUGUGGAGGAAUCCUUCGACAACAACCCCAUCGAGGCUUCCCCCAUCCAGAUUGUGGACGUCGCUCCCGUCCCUGCGGAGCCCGUGCUCAUCGCUGAACCGAUUGCCCCAAUUCCCGUUGUCAACAUCCCUGGCAUCGGAUACUAAACGACUUUAACUGGACUGUAAAAGGAAAGAAUUAAGAACUCAGUCCACUGGAGUGACUGGAGGAGUCUGAAAACGUUACUCAACACCACAAAGCACAACUUCUUUAUUUUUAGUAAAUAUAUUUUAAUAUUUUUGUAAAUAA